CCUACGGGAGGCAGCAGUGGGGAAUAUUGGACAAUGGACCAAAAGUCUGAUCCAGCAAUUCUGUGUGCACGAUGAAGGUCUUCGGAUUGUAAAGUGCUUUCAGGUGGGAAGAAGAAAGUGACGGUACCACCAGAAGAAGCGACGGCUAAAUACGUGCCAGCAGCCGCGGUAAUA
Molecule: ribosomal RNA, 174 nt
Filed under: uncultured Fusobacteriales bacterium
Lineage: Bacteria; Fusobacteriati; Fusobacteriota; Fusobacteriia; Fusobacteriales
Description: partial 16S ribosomal RNA
Rfam family: Bacterial small subunit ribosomal RNA
Source: RNAcentral